This 237-nucleotide ribosomal RNA is filed under the name Triticum aestivum (bread wheat). RNAcentral's name for it is "partial small subunit ribosomal RNA". The record is from RNAcentral. Lineage: Eukaryota; Viridiplantae; Streptophyta; Magnoliopsida; Poales; Poaceae.
AUGUUGGCUAUGUCAGGAGCACAAGCAAUCCAUGAGUGUAGAGUAGCCCAGUGUCCUGUGGGAAGAAAGCUGAUUUGUUUCUUAUGUUGGCAGGCGAAGCAGGUGCAGAAGUGCGUGGAGGCACUGGACAUGCUCAAGGUGUCGAACGCACGGCUGCAGAUGGUGGUGGUGACCACCAAGUGGGAGACGUUUGACAACAGCCCCCCGGUCACCACCAAGUGGGAGAUCUUCAACUGA